This 1544-nucleotide long non-coding RNA is filed under the name Homo sapiens (human). RNAcentral describes it as "HSALNT0400698". Lineage: Eukaryota; Metazoa; Chordata; Mammalia; Primates; Hominidae. The record is from RNAcentral.
CUGAAGUAUCACUGAGGCAGCUUCUAUUUACCAAGUCCCCCUUUCCACACACCAGGCUCCCCACACACCACAUAUCUCAUUUAAAUUUUUUUUUUUUUUUUUAGAUGGAGUCUCUCUCUGUCACCCAGGCUGGAGUGCAGUGGCGCGAUCUUGGCUCACUGCAACCUCCACCUCCCAGGUUCAAGUGAUUCUCCUGCCUCAGCCUCCCAUGUAGCUGGGACUACAGGCGUGUGCCACCAUGCCCGGCUAAUUUUUGUAUUUUCUAGUAGAGACAGGGUUUCACCAUAUUGGACAGGCUGGUCUCGAACUCCUGACCUUGUGAUCCACCCACCUCGGCCUCCCAAAGUGCUGAAAUUACAGGUGUGAGCCACCGCGCCCAGCCUCAUUUCACUUUCAAUGCUGCCCUGAGAGGGAAGGCUGUUGUCCAAUUUCAGGGUGAAGAAUGGGGCUCCGAGAGGUGAAGUGGCCCAUCUGAACUUUCUCAGGCAGUAGGCAGCAGAGCACCCGAGUGGAGUGGGAGUGACCCGGCUAGCAUGGGUGGAGGGGUGGGGGAGGCACCAGUACUCACACUGAAGAUGAAGAAGAGCUCGAUGAACAUGGCGCCGAAGGGCAAGAUCCCAGCCAUGAGGAUGCUGCCACAGAACGAGAGGUUGACAUUGUUAGAGACCAGGCCACCAGGAAGCCCCAAGCUCCUUCCCAAGCUGGCAUGAAGAGAGAGCACCUACACGAGUGUGGUGGUGCUAAUUCUUCUGGCAUAUUUCUGUACUAUUAUAAUCUCUUGAGAGGAUGACACCAAGUCUGCCUACAACCUGGUCACCUUGAUCUUGGAGUGAAGUUAAGCUUUCAUAAACUCUAUUAGAGCCGGCUGAAGCGGCAGGAACUCUGGUUGCCGCACCCUUCUGGUGGCGGAGGGGGGCGUACCCUCUUCCACGUUCCCCUGCUCUUGCCUCUGCUGGAGGACUCACCCCACAAAUCGGUUCAUGUACCACCGCUGCUCGGGGAUCUGCCGGGGAAUCUGGUUGGUGCGCACAGGGUUGUCAUAUGGCUGCUUUCGGAAGCCGAAGUAGUAGCCCAAGUAGACGAGGGGCAGGGAGAUCCCGAACCACAUGCACAGCAGAGCCACCAUGGUGGGAAAGGGCACCUGUAGACAUGGCACCAUGAGGCCCCCACGAGGCCCUGAUGCCCGGGAUGGGGGCUGCGCAAGGGGGAGGGGACCUUCUGGGCUCCACAGAAGGAGAGGCGACUUGUGCAGCAGAAGCACACUCCCUGCCCCCACCACAGGGCUCCUGGCCAGAAUCUCUUGAGGCUGACCCCAGCCCUGAUCUGGACUCCCAGUGAAGAAGGCACCUCAGCAUCCCAGAGGAGCUCACCAUCCAGGGAGGAAGUAGGGGAGGAACAGGAAGGAGUGGACUGAGAACGUGAAGAGAUGAAGAGGUCAAAAUGAAGAGAUUACAUGUGGCACAUUAUGUGAAGAAAAGAAGGGAAAAAACAACACUGUACAAAGUGCUCCCAAUCUUGUCAGAAUAAAACUACAUGAUAUACUA